GACGAACGCUGGCGGCGUGCUUAACACUUGCAAGUCGAACGGAAAGGCCCUGCUUUUGUGGGGUGCUCGAGUGGCGAACGGGUGAGUAACACGUGAGUAACCUGCCCUUGACUUUGGGAUAACUUCAGGAAACUGGGGCUAAUACCGGAUAGGAGCUCCUGCUGCAUGGUGGGGGUUGGAAAGUUUCGGCGGUUGGGGCUGGACUCGCGGCUUAUCAGCUUGUUGGUGGGGUAGUGGCUUACCAAGGCUUUGACGGGUAGCCGGCCUGGGAGGGUGACCGGCCACAUGGGGACUGAGGUAGGGCGCAGACUCCUACGGGAGGCAGCAGUGGGGAAUAUUGCACAGUGGGCGGAAGCCUGAGGAAGCAACGCCGCGUGCGGGAUGACGGCCUUCGGGUUGUAAACCGCUUUAGCCUGUGACGAAGCGUGAGUGACGGUAAUGGGUGAAGAAGCACCGGCUAACUACGUG
RNAcentral lists this ribosomal RNA (468 nucleotides) under uncultured bacterium. RNAcentral describes it as "partial 16S ribosomal RNA". It matches the Rfam family "Bacterial small subunit ribosomal RNA", at positions 28 to 507 of the family's 1533-position model. The record is from RNAcentral.